UACGUAGGGUGCAAGCGUUGUCCGGAAUUAUUGGGCGUAAAGAGUUCGUAGGCGGUUUGUCGCGUCCGUUGUGAAAGCUUGGGGCUCAACCCCAAGUCUGUAGUGGAUACGGGCAGACUAGAGUCAGGUAGGGGAGAACGGAAUCCGUGGAUGUAGCGGUGAAAUGACGCAGAUAUCAGGAGGAACACCGGUGGCGAAGGCAAUCCCCCUGGGCCUGCACUGACGCUCAUGCACGAAAGCGUGGGGAGCAAACAGG
This 256-nucleotide ribosomal RNA is filed under the name uncultured bacterium. Its description in RNAcentral is "partial 16S ribosomal RNA". It matches the Rfam family "Bacterial small subunit ribosomal RNA", at positions 524 to 776 of the family's 1533-position model. The record is from RNAcentral.